This 253-nucleotide ribosomal RNA is filed under the name uncultured bacterium. Its description in RNAcentral is "partial 16S ribosomal RNA". It matches the Rfam family "Bacterial small subunit ribosomal RNA", at positions 524 to 776 of the family's 1533-position model. The record is from RNAcentral.
UACAGAGGGUGCAAGCGUUACUCGGAAUUACUGGGCGUAAAGCGUGCGUAGACGGUUAUGUAAGUCAGGUGUGAAAGCCCAGGGCUCAACCUUGGAAUUGCAUUUGAGACUGCAUAGCUAGGGUGCGGAAGAGGGAAGCGGAAUUUCCGGUGUAGCGGUGAAAUGCGUAGAUAUCGGAAGGAACACCAGUGGCGAAAGCGGCUUCCUGGUCCGACACCGACGUUCAGGCACGAAAGCGUGGGGAGCAAACAGG